RNAcentral lists this transfer RNA (67 nucleotides) under Nassarius siquijorensis. RNAcentral's name for it is "tRNA-Lys". The record is from RNAcentral. Lineage: Eukaryota; Metazoa; Mollusca; Gastropoda; Neogastropoda; Nassariidae.
UCUUAGAUGACUGAGAAUAUAAGUGUUAGAUUUUUAAUCUAAAAACGGCAAAAUGUGCCUCUAAGAG